UUCCGGUUGAUCCUGCCGGACCUGACUGCUAUCGGAUUGAUACUAAGCCAUGCGAGUCAUUGUAGUAAUACAAGGCAGACGGCUCAGUAACGCGUAGUCAACCUAACCUAUGGACGGGAAUAACCUCGGGAAACUGAGAAUAAUGCCAGAUAGAACACUAUGCCUGGAAUGGUUUGUGUUCCAAAUGAUUUAUCGCCGUAGGAUGGGACUGCGGCCUAUCAGUUUGUCGGUGAGGUAAUGGCCCACCAAGACUAUUACAGGUACGGGCUCUGAGAGGAGUGGCCCGGAGAUGGGUACUGAGACACGGACCCAGGCCCUAUGGGGCGCAGCAGGCGAGAAAACUUUGCAAUGUGCGAAAGCACGACAAGGUUAAUCCGAGUGGUUUCUGCUAAAGGAACCUUUUGUCGGUCCUAGAAACACCGAUGAAUAAGGGGUGGGCAAGUUCUGGUGUCAGCCGCCGCGGUAAAACCAGCACCUCAAGUGGUCAGGAUGAUUAUUGGGCCUAAAGCAUCCGUAGCCUGCUUUGUUAGUUUUCGGUUAAAUCUGUACGCUCAACGUACAGGCUGCCGGGAAUACUGCAAAGCUAGGGAGUGGGAGAGGUAGACGGUACUCGGUAGGAAGGGGUAAAAUCCUUUGAUCUACUGAUGACCACCUGUGGCGAAGGCGGUCUACCAGAACACGUCCGACGGUGAGGGAUGAAAGCUGGGGGAGCAAACCGGAUUAGAUACCCGGGUAGUCCCAGCUGUAAACCAUGCAAACUCAGUGAUGCAUUGGCUUGUGGCCAAUGCAGUGCUGCAGGGAAGCCGUUAAGUUUGCCGCCUGGGAAGUACGUACGCAAGUAUGAAACUUAAAGGAAUUGGCGGGGGGAGCACCACAAGGGGUGAAGCCUGCGGUUCAAUUGGAUUCAACGCCGGGAAGGGCGAAUUCCAGCACACCCUGGCGGCAGUUUACUAGUGGAUCCCGAGCUCGGUACCCAAGCUUGAUGCAUAGCUUGAGUAUUCUAAACGCGUUCAACUAAAUAGCUGCGUUAUUCAUGCAGACCGCUUUUCGUCGAGAGGAAUGU
Molecule: ribosomal RNA, 1063 nt
Filed under: uncultured archaeon
Lineage: Archaea
Description: bacterial SSU rRNA
Rfam family: Archaeal small subunit ribosomal RNA
Source: RNAcentral